Molecule: long non-coding RNA, 716 nt
Organism: Homo sapiens (human)
Lineage: Eukaryota; Metazoa; Chordata; Mammalia; Primates; Hominidae
Source: Ensembl
CCCCCUCCACCAGAUGUUAUACCAGGAAAAAACCUUCCCCUUCUGCCUCCAGCUCCCACCCGCCAGAGUUCUAGAUAGGAGGGGAGAGCUCCUUUCACUGUUGAUGGGACCCCUUGCAGGGCAGCAGGAUGAGCCAGGGCGCACGGCUGUUGCUGGAAGGGAGACCCCCGAGGGCAGAGGGCGGCAGACCCGGGACGUCCCCAGCGGAGGCAGCGGACGCCGGGAGCCAGGCAUCCCGGGCGAGCCCGGCGUAAUGAGGCGCUCCCUUCUCCUGCGGGAGGCGGGGCUGCCCCUUCCCUCUCCCCCUCCCCCUCCUGGAGGCCCUGCGGGAGCCGGAGUCCAGCGCAGUUGGGCGGGGGCGUGGGGGAGUGAGGCCUUCCAGGUCGGACUGAGCCGGGGCGGGAGGAGAGUGUGAGGCCCCAGUGGCUGGGCCCUCAGGGUCUGAAUUGGGGAGCAAGUGUGGUGGGGAGGAAGGGCUCCCCGGUUUGCAGAUGGCGGGGGAGGCUAUGUCCGCGGGUCGCCCUGGAGCCCUCCGAUCUUUGCCCCGCAGCAUCUGCCCCCCAGGGGGGUCAGCAUGCUUCCGCCCUUCCCCGCGUGUGCGUCGUCUGUCCGCUCCCUCUCCAGCUCCCGGAACCCCCACUCCCCCCGAGGUCCCCUCGGGAGGCAAAGCCGGCUGCGGGGCGGGCGCGCACCAGCUCCGGGCCCCGUAAACACCC